UCUCUUGGUUAUUUCUUAGGAAACACUGGUUUGAGGCGACCCUUCCUAUCCUUCCUCCCACUCCCAUACCUUCUCUACCCAAGUGCUUUGGUGCUUGAAAUGCCCCCAUUAUAGAAUUGUAGACAGUUUGGACUGGAAGGAAGCCUGUCCAUCCCUUCACUUUAUAACCUGCUCCAAAGGCAAUCUCUCCUUCUCUCUCUCUCUCUGUCUCUCUGUCUCUCUGUCUCUCUCUGCCUCUCUCUGUCUCCCUAUGUCUCCCUCUCCCUCUCUCUCUCCUCUCUCUCUCCUUCUCUCUCUCUUUUUUCCCUUUCUUUUUAAUUCCAUUGUAAAGGAUAGCUUCCUAAGGAAGGGAAGAAAGGAAGAUAUAUUGGGAAAUGUAGGUGGUAUAAAAAUAAAGCAUAUCCAUAAAAAUGAAAAAUGAAAAAUGAAAAAAUAAUCUUAUCCUAUCCAUAGUGGCAAAAGAUAAAUCAAUCCAUUUUUUCCUUCCAGUUACUUAUGAUAUGACCUUUUAUAUUUAGGCCAAAUGUCUAUUUGGAAAUUACUGUGAUAUGUAUGUAUAUAAACCUAUUUUUUGCUAAAAUACAGUUUUCUCUCACUAUAUGGUGGUUCACUUAUCGCAGCUUCACUGUAUUGAGGGUUUUUAAAAAAAUAAUCUCAUUCUGUAUCGCAGAAUUUUCACUAUAUUGCAUGUUUCUGUGAAUGAAUAACAUACUGUACGCAAUGGAAAUGCAGUGUGCCACUAUGGUUUGCACAAGUUUGCCAAUAUGAGAUCAUACACAACUGAGCACAGAGUGGGAAUUUCUGUAUUGGCUGAUGGAAUGAAAGGGGACCAACCAUAGCGCUGUGUUCUGUAUCCUGGGUGCUGCUUGACUCAGUGUUUAUAAGAGUGUGGGAAAGGUUAAUAAGUAUGGAAAAGGUUUAUAGGAGAGUAGGAAGGGUUUAUAAAGCCUUAAUAUGUAUAUAAAUGAUAAAAUAAAUAUAAAUAAACAGUAUAAAAUAUAAAAAUU
This 1007-nucleotide long non-coding RNA is filed under the name Monodelphis domestica (gray short-tailed opossum). Its description in RNAcentral is "lncRNA (ENSMODG00000047642.1)". The record is from RNAcentral. Lineage: Eukaryota; Metazoa; Chordata; Mammalia; Didelphimorphia; Didelphidae.